AGUGAACGCUGGCGGCAGGCCUAAUACAUGCAAGUCGAACGGCAGCACAGUGGAGCUUGCUCCAUGGGUGGCGAGUGGCGGACGGGUGAGGAAUACAUGGGAAUCUGCCCAGUCGUGGGGGAUAACGUAGGGAAACUUACGCUAAUACCGCAUGCGCCCUUCGGGGGAAAGCCGGGGACCUUCGGGCCUGGCGCGAUUGGAUGAGCCCAUGUUCGAUUAGCUAGUUGGCGGGGUAAAGGCCCACCAAGGCGACGAUCGAUAGCUGGUCUGAGAGGAUGAUCAGCCACACUGGGACUGAGACACGGCCCAGACUCCUACGGGAGGCAGCAGUAGGGAAUAUUGGACAAUGGGCGCAAGCCUGAUCCAGCUAUGCCGCGUGAGUGAAGAAGGCCCUCGGGUUGUAAAGCUCUUUUGUCCGGGAAGAAAAGCAUCGGGCUAAUACCUCGGUGUUCUGACGGUACCGGAAGAAUAAGCACCGGCUAACUUCGUG
This 490-nucleotide ribosomal RNA is filed under the name uncultured bacterium. Its description in RNAcentral is "partial 16S ribosomal RNA". It matches the Rfam family "Bacterial small subunit ribosomal RNA", at positions 29 to 507 of the family's 1533-position model. The record is from RNAcentral.